UUGGACCAUAGUUCCGCCUGGAACUAUUGUUAAAUAAUGCUGAAAGCUAGCACCGCAUCGCUGCACUUCUUAACGCAGGCAGGCAUGAGGUGCUGGCCUUUCUCUUAGCAAAUCUUGUCAAGCUUACACUGUGCACUCGAAUUUAAGAUUACAAAAAAAAAUAUUUUGGCAAUAUCUGAUGAGCGGCCUCGUUCUAAGGGUUGCUCUGGGAAUCAGCGGUAAGUUGCGGAGAACCUCUGCCCGCCAAGCUGUACGUUUGUGAUCACGUUAAGCACGGCUACGACGGGACAUGCAUUGUCGACGGAGGCGACGAUCACAAAAUCCUAAUCCCGGACUCGCCGCUACGAUUUAACACCAUGUUUUUGGCAUCGCAUAAAACCGUAGUGUUGUGCAUCUCCCUACUCAUCUCUGUUUAUACUGUGAGGAAUUGAAUUUCAGUGUGUGAGCAACUGUAAGAAAUUAUUGAGUUAUCGAAAUAUAGUGCGCUUAUAAUUUAUAUUUGUAACAUCUAGUUUUCAGAAACUUCCUUAUGGUUCGAGCUUGUUGUGUUUUGGGAUGCCCUUCCCGGGGUAAUAUUCCGAUUUAUCAGUUUCCGAAAAAUCCUGCUAUCGGCAUUUUAAAGACAGUGAUUACAUUCUGGGACAUCGCUUGCGUAAACUUAAAGAAAAUGUCGUACCAUCAUUAAAUUUACCUGCUGUCUAUACUUCCAGUGAAGAAGCUGAUAAGGAAAAUGUUAUGUCUGUAAACUCUUCCGAUCACAUUGAAGCAGACCUUAAUGUGCAGGAAAAUGUGAUGUCGGUAAACCAGUUUAUACCAUAGUGAGUGAAUGGCAUACGCGCAUGGCAGCCCAUGGUAUAGGCUUUGAUAACCGGUCAGUGUUUAGUCAGUAUUAGUCUCGAGAUCAAGAGUCGAUUAUUAUUUACUUAAUUUUUUUGUAUUAAUGAACUAUGCUUAUUGGAUCUAUUAAUUAACUUAGAAUGUAUCAAAUACAUGAUUAUGUUAUACUUUAUACAUUUUAUUAUAUUAUGACAUCGUGUCUUUGUAUUUGGCAAUACCAUAUACAAAAAUCAGAUAAGGACAACAUAUAUUAUAAUAUGGGAAACAACAAUUUAUUAGUAUAAUGCACUUUCAUAGAAAUAUAUAUAUAUAUAUAAACACACACAGCCAGAGAUCUACUCUGGCGAAUAAACGUAUAAAAUUUUUAUAUAAAGUGUGAGGUUAAAUUACAAAAAAAAAUUAAUUCCAUAUAAAAAUAUACUAUCUAUAUAUAUUUGUUCAUUGGAAUGGAAUUUGCGAGAUAAAAAUUGAUCCCGCGAUUCACAGGCUGUUUUUUGGUCUCAAGAAUUUAUCUGAGUUUUAUGUUAGUGUGGAAUAAUGUAAAAUAUAAAGCAAUGCAAGUGAUAUUAAUGUUAAUUAUAAUUAUCAAUUUGAUGUGUAUUAAACUGUGUUAAAUUAAUUGACUAUAUAUGCGCAUUUAAAUUUACAUUAUUAUUAUUAUCACUUUCUUGACAUCUGCUUGAGUUAGUGAAAAACAAAUGAGUAUGAAAACAGUUAAAACAUUGGAUGCUUGCACAACUCCCGAUUUUAAUCUCUAUUUUUAUGCGAAUGAAGGCAAAUUAAUAAAAUGUACUUCUGUCAUGGCUGUCAUUAAAGUGAUAAAUCAUAAAAUUUGAAAAAUAAUUGGUACAUGAAUUAUAGUGAAAUUUACAGCUUAUUUUGAACCAUGUGUAGUAAGAGAUUACACAGGAUGACAAAAGUUAAGUGAUAAGGCAAAAUAUGCAAAUAAUAACUCCACUUUAACCACACACAUAACAAACUUUAUAAGGAUAAUUAAAAAAAACAAUGAUCAAAAAAUUAUAACUAAACAACAUUAUUUCUUAAU
Cephus cinctus (wheat stem sawfly) is the source of this 1882-nucleotide long non-coding RNA. RefSeq lists it as uncharacterized. The transcript has 3 exons. The record is from RefSeq and is a predicted model, not a curated record. Lineage: Eukaryota; Metazoa; Arthropoda; Insecta; Hymenoptera; Cephidae.